Molecule: ribosomal RNA, 395 nt
Filed under: uncultured bacterium
Lineage: Bacteria
Description: bacterial SSU rRNA
Rfam family: Bacterial small subunit ribosomal RNA
Source: RNAcentral
AACGAACGCUGGCGGCGUGCUUAACACAUGCAAGUCGAGCGGGAAAGUUUCCUUCGGGAAGCGAGUACAGCGGCAGACGGGUGAGUACAACGUAGGUAACCUACCCUCGAGACCGGGAUAACCUGUCGAAAGACGGGCUAAUACCGGAUAAGACCACAAGGGCUGCGGCCUUUGAGGUAAAAGAUGGCCUUUGCUUGCAAGCUAUCACUUGGGGAUGGGCCUGCGCGCCAUUAGCUAGUUGGNGAGGUAACGGCUCACCAAGGCAAAGAUGGCUAGCUGGUCUGAGAGGAUGGCCAGCCACACUGGGACUGAGACACGGCCCAGACUCCUACGGGAGGCAGCAGUGGGGAAUAUUGCGCAAUGGGCAAAGCCUGACGCAGCGACGCCGCGUGGGU